UACGUAGGGUGCGAGCGUUGUCCGGAAUUAUUGGGCGUAAAGGGCUCGUAGGCGGUUUGUCGCGUCGGGAGUGAAAACUCAGGGCUUAACCCUGAGCCUGCUUCCGAUACGGGCAGACUAGAGGUAUGCAGGGGAGAACGGAAUUCCUGGUGUAGCGGUGAAAUGCGCAGAUAUCAGGAAGAACACCCGUGGCUAAGGCGGCUCUCUAGUACGGUACUGACGCUGAGACGCGAAAGCGUGGGGAGCGAACAGG
Molecule: ribosomal RNA, 253 nt
Filed under: uncultured bacterium
Lineage: Bacteria
Description: partial 16S ribosomal RNA
Rfam family: Bacterial small subunit ribosomal RNA
Source: RNAcentral